Molecule: ribosomal RNA, 795 nt
Filed under: uncultured bacterium
Lineage: Bacteria
Description: bacterial SSU rRNA
Rfam family: Bacterial small subunit ribosomal RNA
Source: RNAcentral
AGAGUUUGAUCAUGGCUCAGGAUGAACGCUAGCGGCAGGCUUAACACAUGCAAGUCGAGGGGCAGCAUAAUGGAUAGCAAUAUCUAUGGUGGCGACCGGCGCACGGGUGCGUAACGCGUAUGCAACCUACCUUUAACAGGGGGAUAACACUGAGAAAUUGGUACUAAUACCCCAUAAUAUCAUAGAAGGCAUCUUUUAUGGUUGAAAAUUCCGAUGGUUAGAGAUGGGCAUGCGUUGUAUUAGCUAGUUGGUGGGGUAACGGCUCACCAAGGCGACGAUACAUAGGGGGACUGAGAGGUUAACCCCCCACACUGGUACUGAGACACGGACCAGACUCCUACGGGAGGCAGCAGUGAGGAAUAUUGGUCAAUGGACGCAAGUCUGAACCAGCCAUGCCGCGUGCAGGAUGACGGCUCUAUGAGUUGUAAACUGCUUUUGUACGAGGGUAAACGCAGAUACGUGUAUCUGUCUGAAAGUAUCGUACGAAUAAGGAUCGGCUAACUCCGUGCCAGCAGCCGCGGUAAUACGGAGGAUUCAAGCGUUAUCCGGAUUUAUUGGGUUUAAAGGGUGCGUAGGCGGUUUGAUAAGUUAGAGGUGAAAUUUCGGGGCUCAACCCUGAACGUGCCUCUAAUACUGUUGAGCUAGAGAGUAGUUGCAGUAGGCGGAAUGUAUGGUGUAGCGGUGAAAUGCUUAGAGAUCAUACAGAACACCGAUUGCGAAGGCAGCUUACCAAACUAUAUCUGACGUUGAGGCACGAAAGCGUGGGGAGCAAACAGGAUUAGAUACCCUGGUAGU